Pomacea canaliculata is the source of this 690-nucleotide long non-coding RNA. RefSeq lists it as uncharacterized. The transcript has 2 exons. Lineage: Eukaryota; Metazoa; Mollusca; Gastropoda; Architaenioglossa; Ampullariidae. The record is from RefSeq and is a predicted model, not a curated record.
GCGGUGAAGGUGUGGUUAUCUCCCUUGGAGGUAACUAUGCGCGAGAGGGCAGUCAAAAGCACGUGGUCAAACACGACCUUUGACCGCAGACUACCAGGAUCUCCAGACAGAAGAUUUCCUCGCAAGUCUUGUUACGUGUCACAUUCAGAUCUACCACGGAGGGCAUUGUGGCUAAGAGUUUUAAACAGAUUGGUCUUGGGUAAUCAUGGCACAUUGAAAUUGCGGGGUCAGCAGUGCCAUUGAAUCGAGACCCAACGACCAAGCGAGAAUCAACGACUCCUUGCAACAUUUAAAGGUGUCAUUGGUUUAUUUCUUAGUUCAUGGUUUAUCUGCAGAGAUAUAAACGCAGUUGUUCCUGUUAUGUAUUUCUUCCUUUGAUGAUGCUAGGGUAUUAAUGUCAGCCUUGUUGAAGAAAGAAUGAGACAAAUUUACAAAGACAAUAUUAAAUACCAGCUAGGGCUGUUAUUUAUUGGAUUUAUUGUUGAGGGAAUAGGGUGUCAGUUAAAAAAAGGAGUUUCUUUGUGAACAAAACACUCAUAAUGUACAAUCAAUUUUCCUAGUGGUGUGAAUGAAAUAGAGAACAAAGCUAAAGAUGAUUGAUGAAUAAGCUAAGGUUUGAAAGCAGUGUUUUGGAAGUACUUGUUAGGACCAAUGUAAUGAACAUGCCAUUAAAAUAUUAUUUAAAAUUUA